This is a long non-coding RNA of Equus quagga, 515 nucleotides long. RefSeq lists it as uncharacterized. The record is from RefSeq and is a predicted model, not a curated record. The transcript has 4 exons. NCBI's taxonomy places the organism in Eukaryota, Metazoa, Chordata, Mammalia, Perissodactyla, Equidae.
CGUGGUCAGAGAGUCAGGGUGAAAUGGAAUCCUGAGACUUCGGGGGAGCCACAGCGUUAAAGAGAGAGAAGUGUUCAUGAAGGAAUAAUAAAGAAGCAACAUUCCUCUAGAAAAUGCUCUACUCCUCUGAGAAAAGGUGAAGGCUCCAAAAAGUACAAGUGGAACAAAAUGAAUAAAGCAGAAGCGCCUCUCCUUAGCCCUCUCUGAAGAGGUGGUAAAUGCCUAUCAGCCUGAGCCAUUGGGUGACCAUGUAGAUCAGACCAUCACUGGACAACUGGGGAGAGUACUUGUCAAACCAUCAGUGGACAUGUAGGGGAGAGAAUGCCAAGUGAUAUUACAGAAGCAGAGACUGAAGUGCUGCAGCUGCACGCAAAGGAAUGCUGAGAAUUGCCAGGAAAUCACCAGAAGAAAGAUUGCCAAGUCUCUCUUCUAUAACCAAGACAGACGUCACUAAUCAAGCUUGGCACAAUUGCUGAGGGUGCCCAUCGCCGAGAAUCAUCUUUAUUAAACCAGGU